This 305-nucleotide ribosomal RNA is filed under the name uncultured bacterium. RNAcentral's name for it is "bacterial SSU rRNA". It matches the Rfam family "Bacterial small subunit ribosomal RNA", at positions 333 to 635 of the family's 1533-position model. The record is from RNAcentral.
UUUAUCCUACGGGGCGCAGCAGUGAGGAAUAUUGGUCAAUGGGCGGGAGCCUGAACCAGCCAAGUCGCGUGAGGGAAGAAGGUACUGAGUAUUGUAAACCUCUUUUGCCAGGGGACAAAGGCGGCCACGGGUGGCCGUAAGAGGGUACCUGGAGAAAAAGCAUCGGCUAACUCCGUGCCAGCAGCCGCGGUAAUACGGAGGAUCCGAGCGUUAUCCGGAUUUAUUGGGUUUAAAGGGAGCGUAGGUGGAUUGUUAAGUCAGUUGUGAAAGUUUGCGGCUCAACCGUAAAAUUGCAGUUGAAACUG